This 713-nucleotide ribosomal RNA is filed under the name uncultured beta proteobacterium. RNAcentral's name for it is "bacterial SSU rRNA". It matches the Rfam family "Bacterial small subunit ribosomal RNA", at positions 53 to 756 of the family's 1533-position model. The record is from RNAcentral. Lineage: Bacteria; Pseudomonadati; Pseudomonadota; Betaproteobacteria.
ACAUGCAAGUCGUGCGGCAGCAUAGAGAGCUUGAUCUCUGAUGGCGAGUGGCGAACGGGUUAGUAACAUAUCGGAACGUACCUAGUAAUGGGGAAUAACUAAUCGAAAGAUUAGCUAAUACCGCAUACGACCUACGGGUGAAAGCAGGGGAUCUUCGGACCUUGCGUUAUUAGAGCGGCCGAUAUCUGAUUAGCUAGUUGGUAGGGUAAAGGCCUACCAAGCCGACGAUCAGUAGCUGGUCUGAGAGGACGAUCAGCCACACUGGAACUGAGACACGGUCCAGACUCCUACGGGAGGCGGCAGUGGGGAAUUUUGGACAAUGGGGGCAACCCUGAUCCAGCCAUUCCGCGUGAGUGAAGAAGGCCUUCGGGUUGUAAAGCUCUUUCGCAAGGGAAGAAAUCUUGCCGUUUAAUAAACGGCAAGGAUGACGGUACCUUGACAAGAAGCACCGGCUAACUACGUGCCAGCAGCCGCGGUAAUACGUAGGGUGCGAGCGUUAAUCGGAAUUACUGGGCGUAAAGCGUGCGCAGGCUGUUUUAUAAGUCAGAUGUGAAAUCCCCGAGCUCAACUUGGGAACUGCGUUUGAUACUGUAAGACUAGAGUGUGUCAGAGGGGGGUAGAAUUCCACGUGUACCAGUGAAAUGCGUAAAUAUGUGGAGGAAUACCAAUGGCGAAGGCAGCCCCCUGGGGAUAACACUGACGCUCAUGCACGA